Long non-coding RNA from Fundulus heteroclitus (mummichog), 934 nucleotides. RefSeq lists it as uncharacterized. NCBI's taxonomy places the organism in Eukaryota, Metazoa, Chordata, Actinopteri, Cyprinodontiformes, Fundulidae. The transcript has 3 exons. The record is from RefSeq and is a predicted model, not a curated record.
AUAAAACCUGUUUUGCACACAAAAUGAUAUGUCUCACACACAAAAAAUUGUUUUGCAAACUGUUCGCCAACCUUGCACUCAAAAUAUCAUUUAUAAGUUUUCCUCGAGUACAAAACGGUCUGUGCUUGCACAAAGCAGCCUCUGCUCGAGUACGAAACAAUCCCACCACCGCUGCGGUAAAUUUGUGCCAAAAGUCACGUGAUGCAUUAAGAGUUGUUGUUCAGACUUCCCGACAGCAGGGGGCGCACCCAAAAAAACUGAAACGCACCGGUUUGGGUGAGGAAGAGAGACGUGAUAACACAGCUAACAGCAUCAGCACCCCACAGAAUUAAACGUCUUUGGAGACGUGUGGUGCGCAGGAACUAACAUACACAACAAUGUGCUGCACUCAGGAGAGGACAACAAUUCGCUUGACCUGUCAAACAUGUUAGAUAACUUCUGUUGUCACCAUUUAUUUGUCCCAAGACUACAACUAAGUUUUCACACCAUCAGCAGUGGCUGAGAUGACCAUUCACUCAGAACUGAGGGGAAUCUAACACUCAGUCAGUUAUGGAAGAUGGGAAGCAUCCAGCAUGCUGUGGUAGAACCAGAAAUCACAGAGGGACUCUGCCUGCCUCAUAUUGACUGGGACAACAGUGGACUGCUGAAUGACCCACACUGUGGGGUCACUAUUUCUGAAACUGGCAAUGUGUUGAGCCCUGAACAACUUGGUAGCACUGAGGGCAGCCAUGGAUGCACUGGGACAUUCUGAAUCGCACGGCUCAGAAUAUAUAUAUAUAUAUAUAUAUAUAUAUAUAUAUAUAUAUAUAUAUAUAUAUAUAUAUAUGUGUUGCUACUCUCCAGUAUGACCAACACUUUACGGGUUUAAUCUUAUUGUGGUUACCAUUGUUGCAAAAGGUUUUUAAGUAGUAAAAUCUAGCCAGGGAAAUGUAAC